GACAGAGGUGCCGAGCGUUAGGCGGAAUCACUGGGCUUAAAGCGUGUGUAGGCGGAUGGGUAAGUACCUUGUGAAAUCCCACGGCUCAACCGUGGAACUGCUCGGUAUACUGCUCGUCUUGAGCCAACUAGGGGCGACCGGAACAAACGGUGGAGCGGUGAAAUGCGUAGAUAUCGUUUGGAACGCCGAUGGUGAAAACAGGUCGCUGGGGUUGUGCUGACGCUGAGACACGAAAGCGUGGGGGAGCGAACAGG
RNAcentral lists this ribosomal RNA (254 nucleotides) under uncultured bacterium. RNAcentral's name for it is "partial 16S ribosomal RNA". It matches the Rfam family "Bacterial small subunit ribosomal RNA", at positions 524 to 776 of the family's 1533-position model. The record is from RNAcentral.